UAGGGAAUUUUCGGCAAUGGGGGAAACCCUGACCGAGCAACGCCGCGUGAAGGAAGAAGGUUUUCGGAUUGUAAACUUCUGUUAUAAAGGAAGAACGGCGGCUACAGGAAAUGGUAGCCGAGUGACGGUACUUUAUUAGAAAGCCACGGCUAACUACGUGCCAGCAGCCGCGGUAAUACGUAGGUGGCAAGCGUUAUCCGGAAUUAUUGGGCGUAAAGAGGGAGCAGGCGGCAGCAAGGGUCUGUGGUGAAAGCCUGAAGCUUAACUUCAGUAAGCCAUAGAAACCAGGCAGCUAGAGUGCAGGAGAGGAUCGUGGAAUUCCAUGUGUAGCGGUGAAAUGCGUAGAUAUAUGGAGGAACACCAGUGGCGAAGGCGACGAUCUGGCCUGCAACUGACGCUCAGUCCCGAAAGCUAAGGUAGCAAACG
Molecule: ribosomal RNA, 426 nt
Filed under: uncultured prokaryote
Description: bacterial SSU rRNA
Rfam family: Bacterial small subunit ribosomal RNA
Source: RNAcentral